This is a long non-coding RNA of Phyllostomus hastatus (greater spear-nosed bat), 940 nucleotides long. RefSeq lists it as uncharacterized. NCBI's taxonomy places the organism in Eukaryota, Metazoa, Chordata, Mammalia, Chiroptera, Phyllostomidae. The record is from RefSeq and is a predicted model, not a curated record. The transcript is spliced from 3 exons.
GGGAAAACAGAGUGAGGCCGUGUUGACUUCCAGCACUCAGUUUGCCGUGGUCUGAGCUGCUGCCAGCACACCUGGCUUCUCCCUGCAGCGCACAGCCCCAGUGUUUCUAGACGUCCUGAAAGGGAUGUUUUCCCACGUGAAAGCCCUUACGUGGGAUGCCAGCUGGGCAACGUCAACUAUGAGGGAAAGCUGCCGCACUUUGGGGUCAGAAACCAGAACGCCCAAAUCUCAUCCAUGCCCUGGGUGAGAACCAAGCAACUCGUCUCGUCUUUCCGUGCCCCCAUUUCCUCGUCUGCGAAAUGGAGUGAGACCGACGACUUUCUCUGUUGGCCUCCACCCAGAGGUCACCAAGAGAAGGAAGGCCGGCAGCAGGAGGGCCGGCAGGAGCCCACCUCCCAGAAGAGCACUUACGGGCCAGGAGAAUUUGAAAGGCGGCCUGGGCCAAUCCACGCUUGGACCUCAGUCUUGUCUGCUAAUGAUUCCAACUCAUGUUAGGGAGGGAACGGAGGACGCUGGUCAUGCCAAUGGUGAGCAGGAAGGACCGGGGGCUCGGAAGGCAUCCUGAUGCCCACUCCACCGCUGACGCACAGGGGGCUGGACUUCCUGAGAACGCAGCUUGCUCUCAUGGAUCCUGCCUGACCUGACCUUCUUUCUACACACAAGGAAACUGAGGCCCAGAGAAACCUGUGCUCAGGUCAGGUCACGCAGCUAGUCCGUGAAAAAGCCAGCACAAAAUGAAAACAGUCCAGAGGUCUUCUCCUGCAUGGAGCAAGGAUAAAGAAGAAACAGAAACCGACCUAGAUUACUGUGGUCCAAACUCAGGUCUCGAAAAACUUUAGUCACUGAACAAAGGAACCAUUAGUAGUAGUUACACCCCUGGAUGUCCUGAUCCAACAUCGGGGCCAUAAACUCUAUUGCUGAUACAAACUCUGGAGUAGGA